UACAGAGGUCUCAAGCGUUGUUCGGAUUCAUUGGGCGUAAAGGGUGCGUAGGCGGCGCGGUAAGUCGGGUGUGAAAUCUCGGAGCUUAACUCCGAAACUGCAUUCGAUACUGCCGUGCUUGAGGACUGGAGAGGAGACUGGAAUUUACGGUGUAGCAGUGAAAUGCGUAGAGAUGCGGAGAAACACCGAUGGCGAAGGCAGCCCCCUGGGCUAACACUGACGCUCAGGCACGAAAGCGUGGGGAGCAAACAGG
RNAcentral lists this ribosomal RNA (253 nucleotides) under uncultured bacterium. Its description in RNAcentral is "partial 16S ribosomal RNA". It matches the Rfam family "Bacterial small subunit ribosomal RNA", at positions 524 to 776 of the family's 1533-position model. The record is from RNAcentral.